ACAUGUCUACAACAUAGCAUUAAUGCACCGGAUCCCAUUAGAACUCCACAGGUAAGCGUGCUUGGGCUAGAGUAGUACUGAGAUGGGUGAAUGCCCAGGAAGUCCUAGUGUUUUACAUGCC
This is a non-coding RNA of Picea glauca (white spruce), 121 nucleotides long. The record is from Rfam. Lineage: Eukaryota; Viridiplantae; Streptophyta; Pinopsida; Pinales; Pinaceae.